Long non-coding RNA from Stylophora pistillata, 616 nucleotides. The record is from RefSeq and is a predicted model, not a curated record. NCBI's taxonomy places the organism in Eukaryota, Metazoa, Cnidaria, Anthozoa, Scleractinia, Pocilloporidae.
AGCGUAAAGCUACUUUUAUAAAGUUCUAAGAAUCCUUUGUGGCCACGGUCGUCUACUAAUACUUAAAAACAUAGUUCUCCUUCGUAACAUAGGAGUUCGGGACCUCUCUAACUAGAAAGAAACUUUUCAUAUGUAAAGCGUUCCGAUUCUGAACCUGGAUUCAUGGCCAUCUGCAGAAGAUCUGGGUCUUGAUGACUUUCAGUACAGAGCUCUUCAAAUGGCGCUCACCAAAGAGUUUGCGAUCAUUCAAGGUCCACCGGGUACUGGAAAGACAUUCAUUGGGUUGAAGAUCACCAAAGUUUUGUUGCACAACAAUAGCAAGUGGGACUCAGAUGAAGUGAGAUCUUGGUACUGGUCUCUACAGUCUUUGACUCAUCACCCAACUCUAGUACACAAACCACGCGCUUGACCAGUUUCUAGAGGGAAUCCAUCAGUUUCAUCCAAAGGGAAUUGUGCGGAUUGGAGGUCGGAGUCAAAAUGAGACCCUGAAGCCGUGCAGUCCGUCGGAGUUGAAACAAAAAAUAAGCAAAUCAUACUCGAUGAGGAGAAAAAAGUUCCUCAACAUAUCAGAAAAAGGUUACACGAAGCUCAUACGAUAAUGGAAGACACUGAGUCG